UUCGCAAUGCCCGAAAGGGUGACGAAGCGACGCCGCGUGCGGGAAGAAGGCCUUCGGGUUGUAAACCGCUGUCGGGAGUUAAGAAAUGUAAGGAUGUUAAUAGCGUCUUUACUUGACUAAGGCUCCGGAGGAAGCCACGGCUAACUCUGUGCCAGCAGCUGCGGUAAUACAGAGGCGGCAAGCGUUGUUCGGAAUUAUUGGGCGUAAAGAGCACGUAGGCGGCUAUGUAAGUCGGUUGUGAAAGCCUUCCGCUCAACGGGAGAACAGCAUCCGAUACUGCAUGGCUUGAGUGUGGGAGGGGAGAGUGGAACUUCUGGUGGAGCGGUGAAAUGCGUAGAUAUCAGAAGGAACGCCGGCGGCGAAAGCGGCUCUCUGGCCCAUAACUGACGCUGAGUGUGCGAAAGCUAGGGGAGCAAACGGGAUUAGAUACCCCGGUAGUCCUAGCCGUAAACGAUGGGCACUAAGUAGAGGGGUUUU
This 477-nucleotide ribosomal RNA is filed under the name uncultured bacterium. RNAcentral describes it as "bacterial SSU rRNA". It matches the Rfam family "Bacterial small subunit ribosomal RNA", at positions 365 to 832 of the family's 1533-position model. The record is from RNAcentral.